GUCUGCUCUCAAGUAAAACAGCUCAGCCACUUUUCUGUGGAGGAAAAGCAGAAUGAAAUAGUUUUGCUUUAUCUGUCAAUUUGCGUUUAUUUACAAAUUGAAAUGGAAUAAAAUAAAGAUGUUCACAGCCUGAUAAAUGAGGAUGCGUGCACAUGUUUGCAGAUUGAAACCCUCUGAUGCUCUCUUUUUGUGGGGAGGGAAUUCAGAAGUACAGGCGUAUGUACAACAGAAUGAGCGCUAAGUUUCUGCCCACUCCACAUUCUUCAUUGUUUUAUCUGCAGACAGAGAUGCUUUUGGUACUGCUUUGAUCAGACAGAUCAUAUCUAAUAAAAUAUUCUCUUUUUUUCUCAGACGCUUGAACCUUGGGAUUCCCUUUUCCUUGAAUCAGGAUCUUCAAAAUGGUUACGCUGUGAUAUGAAGAAGUCUGAUUUCUCAGAUACUAACUCAUAAAUAUUAACAUUCUCAGAGUCUCUCUAGAAUAAUUUAGAAAAAUAAUUAUGUCCAUCCUUAUGAAAUUUCCUAGGUGAUGAGAAUGGAAGUGAUAAAUGGAGACCACAAAAAGAAUUACCUUUUGGAAGUCAAGUUCACCUGUGGUUACUGUACAUGUACUGUGUCGUCUUGUGUCAGCAAAACCAGCUGUUGUCAGGGUACUGCAGGGUGGGGUGCAUGAGCUCACAAAGAAGGCUGUCAGAUAGGAUUUACUGGGAAGUGGGUCUGUGCAAUGAUCUUUAUGAAAUUAGAAAGAACAACCAUCCCAAAGCUCAGCAAAGCCCUGUGUCUGAGCACAGUGUGACUGCCAUCCCUGUGGACAGGCAGCCCCUGUCCAAACAUGUGGGGAAACCUCCAGCUCUUUGCAGUCAGAUGAAUGCGGAGGGCUCUUCAAACAUGAAAUUCCUAAGUGCUUUGGGGUAUUUUCACUUUCCUGGGAUAUUCUUCCCAGAUGAGACUGCACUGUAUUGCCUCAGAUCUAUGCCAGAAGGAAUUACAGAUGUUUCAGAGGAAGCGUGCAGAAACCAUGCAGCUGAAACAGAAUAAAUUAUGCUUAAAAUCAAGGAAAUGUCCUAAUAAGUGAGAAAUGCACCCAUUUCUCCUUGAGCUUCUUUUCUUGCUGCUACCACCUGUGUUUAUUUUUUUGUAUUUUUUUUUUUUACUUUACGGUGUGGUACAGGAGCUGGUUCUUCCAAUGAAAAAGCCUGUAGUAAGACCAAAGUUUUAAAGGAUUUUUAGAAUUUCUUACAUUUUCUAACUUCAAAAUACUUUAGCAAAAUGUGCAGGUGUAUGUCUUUAUCUGUAAGACAGAAAAACAUGCUUCUGGAAAAGUCGUUAGAACUGCACCCCCUGCCCCCCCCAACAAACUACAGGUCGAGCAUUUGACCCAGCCACCAAGCACAGCCCCAGGUGUUUGCAAAAGUGCUCCCACAUUGAAGCAGUGGAGCAAAAGGAGCCCCUGCACUCAUCUGGGCAGCAUGUCUCUUUUACUGUCUGCAAUGUGCUGAAUUCAGCAAGGAGUUUCUAAUUUUCUGCCUCCCCAUGGCUGUAUCCCAGGAGAAGCUGCAGACAUCUGUGGCAGACAAUGAGUCAUGUGCCUUGGCUCUUUGCUUUACAGCGAGCUUUUGCUUUACAAGCAAUGCCCAUUGCAUACACAUACAUGUACUCCAGCAAUGUUCAAAUACUUCUGGUCUCCUAAUUUUAGGCUGUUUUUUUAUCACCAGUUUCCCCUUGGAAACAAUGAAAUAAAGAGCGUACCUAAAAAGCCUGGCCCA
This 1763-nucleotide long non-coding RNA is filed under the name Numida meleagris (helmeted guineafowl). RNAcentral's name for it is "lncRNA (ENSNMEG00000011250.1)". The record is from RNAcentral. Lineage: Eukaryota; Metazoa; Chordata; Aves; Galliformes; Numididae.